RNAcentral lists this long non-coding RNA (253 nucleotides) under Citrus maxima (pomelo). RNAcentral's name for it is "long non-coding RNA (CMAX_LNC002877)". Lineage: Eukaryota; Viridiplantae; Streptophyta; Magnoliopsida; Sapindales; Rutaceae. The record is from RNAcentral.
UUUCUCGACGAAGCCCGGGAGGUGUUUUUGGGAGCAGGUGGGGGUGAAGGCGCCGGGGACGGCGAAGAGGAUUGCUUUUUUAUUGGAGGUGAGGUCGGAGACGGUGAUGGUCUGGAGCUCGCCAGCGGAGUCGAAGUAGGAGAGGGUGGCGUCGGGGAGCUUGUCGCCCACGGAAAUGGCGGCGGAGACUGGCGUGGCGUUGGUGGAGAGAGAGAGUUUUGUGGUGGCGGGUUUUGCGAGGAGGCGGUGGCGG